GACGAACGCUGGCGGCGUGCUUAACACAUGCAAGUCGAACGGUGAAGCGCUUGCCUUUUUGGUGGGUGUGGAUGAGUGGCGAACGGGUGAGUAACACGUGAGUAACCUGCCCUCUUCUUCUGGAUAACCUCAUGAAAGUGGGGCUAAUACGGGGUAUUCCGGGUCUGUCGCAUGGCGGGUUUGGGAAAGAUUGCGCCUUUGGGUGUUUUCGGUGGGGAUGGGCUCGCGGGCUUUCCGCCUGUUGGUGGGGUGAUGGCCUACCAAGGCGGUGACGGGUAGCCGGCCUGAGAGGGUGGACGGCCACACUGGGACUGAGACACGGCCCAGACUCCUGCGGGAGGCAGCAGUGGGGAAUACUGCACAAUGGGCGCAAGCCUGAUGCAGCGACGCCGCGUGAGGGAUGGAGGCCUUCGGGUUGUGAACCUCUUUCGCCAGUGAAGCAGGCCUGCUCCUGUGUGGGUGGGUUGACGGUAGCUGGAUAAGAAGCGCCGGCUAACUACGUG
RNAcentral lists this ribosomal RNA (503 nucleotides) under uncultured bacterium. Its description in RNAcentral is "partial 16S ribosomal RNA". It matches the Rfam family "Bacterial small subunit ribosomal RNA", at positions 28 to 507 of the family's 1533-position model. The record is from RNAcentral.